RNAcentral lists this long non-coding RNA (403 nucleotides) under Hordeum vulgare. RNAcentral describes it as "long non-coding RNA (HVUL_LNC000565)". The record is from RNAcentral. Lineage: Eukaryota; Viridiplantae; Streptophyta; Magnoliopsida; Poales; Poaceae.
UUGAGGAAGGUAUAUGGUGGGUUUGUGCACUGGCGAAAGUUGCGCGACACUAGAGAGGCUAUCAAUGGUGGAAGGUGAAAGUGCAUCUAUACCAUGGACUCACAUUAGUCAUGAAGAACUCAUAUACUUAUUGCGGAAGUUUUAUUAGUAAUCGAAACAAAGUGCUAAAUGCAUACUCCUAGGGGAAGGGUUGGUAGGUGUCAACCAUCGCGCGAUCCCGACCGCCACACAAAGGAUGACAAUCAAUAAAUCAAUUAUGCUCCGACUUCAUAACAUAGCGGUUCACCAUACGUGCAUGCUACGGGAAUCACUAACUUCAACACAAGUAUUUCUAGAUUCACAACACCCUACUAACAUAACUCUAAUAUUACCAAAUCCAUAUCUUAAAACUUAAUUUUUAGGA